Molecule: long non-coding RNA, 6360 nt
Filed under: Gossypium barbadense (sea-island cotton)
Lineage: Eukaryota; Viridiplantae; Streptophyta; Magnoliopsida; Malvales; Malvaceae
Description: long non-coding RNA (GBAR_LNC016126)
Source: RNAcentral
CACGAUCAAUGCAAGAGCUGGCUAGAAAGGACUUUGAAAAUUUGAGGCAAGAUAGUGAUGAAGGUGAACCACAAGUGAAAGUUGUGAGGAGAGGAAGGCCACCUGGAAAGAGUCUCAAAAAGUCAUUGGUUUCAUCGUCAUCUAUUGACCAUGUUGGUUCCGAGUGCUCCUCAGGUGCAACUCUAGCUGCUGGACGAGAUGCUUCCAUUCUUUCAAACACUUACAAUUUGAGGAAAGGACCUAAUUCCCUCAAGCUACGGCCUGCUGAUGCAUUCAUCAGGCCCUCCUGGGGUUCUCCUAGCAAAGAAAAUCAUGCCAUUUGUUCAUCUGAAUGGGAGAAUGAAUUUCCAGGUUUGGUAUUUAUCUGACUUUAUAUACAUAUCCUCAAGUCUUUAGCUUUUUUUAUGUAAAAUGUUAUUUACUACAUAUUUUCAAUAUUUCAUAUUGAGCUAUUUUUCUCUCGUUUUGUAGCUUCUGUUGUGAGGGCUGUGAUGAAGUAUGGGAUGAAACAUUUUGCAGUAGAUGAGAACAGGCGUGACACCUACAACCACUCAUCGACUUCUGGACAUGAGCAACGUACCUUUUCCACCUUGGAUGGAGAAUUGAAGCAACUAAUUCCGGUGUGUUUUAUGUUUGUAUAAUGGCAAUAACAGUUAUUAAUGCAUUAGUUAGAAGAUUAUUGUAUGAGCUGUAUAGCUGGAAUGUGUGAUCGACCCUAUACUCAUUGAGUGCAGGUAAGGAAUCCUAAACUUUUUGUUUAUUAAUAAACUGCAUACAAAGUUGUGGUGCAGGUAGGCUUGCGCUGGUAAUUUGUUAUGUUUAUAUAUCUAGCCAAAAGGAUGUUCAAGUAUUCUGACAACUAGUGUUUAUGGGGGAACAAUAAAAAACUAUCCAGAUCAGCGGCAGAAUAGAAUGCUCAAUCCCUUAUAUUGACUAAUUCUUUUUAUCUCCCUCAAUUUUAUUUUGGUCAAUUGUAUUGUUUAUCAGGUUGGUUUGACUGCAGGAAAUGGUAAGCCUUUUUUUCCCCUUUCAUUGUCCAUCAGGUUGGUUUGAGUGCAGAAAAUGGUUAUGCUACAAGCUUGGCACGUUUUGCUGCAAAUCUUGGACCUGUUGUGUGGAAAAUUGCUUCAAGGAAAAUUGAAAGUGUUUUGCCUAGUGGACUCAAGUUUGGUCCUGGAUGGGUUGUAGAAAACAGGACAGUUGAGCAGCCACAAUGUUCCUUAUCUGAUAAGCAUAGAACUCCGAAUUCUCUAUCUGAUAACCCUCCUGGCAGAUUUUUAUCUACAGCCACUUCUGGUUCAAACUCCAUUGCUGCAAGUAGAUUUCCUUUGCAAGGUAGAGAAGACAUGGAAACUGUCGUAGGCCUAACUUCUCAAAAUGACUCGACUUCUGCACCUUCUCAUCAGCUUCAGCAAAGUCUUGUCCCACACACGGGUAUCAAUGGUUCUAUUGGUGGGUUUGGGUUUGGUUAUUACUCUCAAAUGGGGUUGGUAACACAGUGUGUAAAUUCCUUGUCUGAAAAGACUUCAGUGCCGGCUCAAACACAUGUCAUGGUUUCGGGUGCUAGUAAUUCUCUUCCAAAAGAGGCCAAGCUGGCAGAUAGUUCAAUCACUUUACAUUCUGGAAAUGCAAUGGCUGUGGAGCCUGAAAUGGUGUCACAUGCGGCAGCAACUAAUGUCGGGCUUCAGCGGAGUUCCUAUAAUGAACCGAAUUUCCUUCCAUUUGCUCCUGAUCUUAAUGUGAGAUUUCUGGCACUGGGUUCACCUAGUUCUAGUGUGCCAAUUGGUUCAUCCCAGCGCCCUGAUUUAGCAUUGCAGCUCUAAUAAUCAGCCAACACGAUUUCCGUAUGAUGUGGCUUGUAUGUGCUAAUUGUAGUAUUAGGUCAAGUACGCCUGUAUAUGAUGAUAAGAUUUGGUCGAAUUUACUGACUACAUUCUUCAUUGGAAGGUCCGUUGAGUAGUGGUUCCUCAAGAAGUCAUAGGAUCAGAUUGUAGGUGAGAUUUUGUACAGAUUGGUAUGUCAAAUUCUUUCACAGGGUUAAAAAAUUACAGAUUUGUAUGCAACAUACGGUAUCUAACAUUGUAUAUUUUGAGUUGUUAAUGAAUAUUGUUACCAAUACUACUACUGGUAUUACGUACGAGAUAUCAUUCAUGUCAUGAAUUAUGAAAUGUUCAUGUUUGGAGCAAUGAAGUAAUGCUUAAACUAAUUGAUGCAAAAUAGAGAGCAACUGAUUGCUAAGGGGGGUUGAGUGAUGUUAUAUAAAUGGCAAUUAUAUAUACAUGCGCAUAUAUAAUUAUCUUUAUGUGCAUAUAAAAUUGUCUUUAAAAUUGUGUCCCAUUAUCUAUUAUUAACCAUUGGGAAAACUAUAUCAACAAAUGAUGGUUUUCCAUACAAAUAUCUCCAUGUGUCUUUGAUGCCUUUGGAAAUUAGAUCCGUAUAGGAUUACCUGUGUUGGUUUGUGAUAGGACAUGAUAGAGUCCAUGUGUCGCAUGAUUAGCGAAGUAUUCUAGCAAAUUAUAGUCCUUUGACGAGAUACAGAAAGUAUGACUUGGUAUCUUGAUGGACAAGAUGUGAGCCAUGCGAGGUACACUUAUGUCUGAGGUCUAACCAACUCCAACAUUACAUUUAACAUAUAAUUUAUUUAUGUAAUUCGUAUAACACAAAAUAUUAAAUAUUUGUAACAAUUUCUCUUAUUACAUAAAUAUUAUUAAUGUUGUAAUAAUUUGUGUAAUUAAAUAAUAUUUUAUAAGAUUACACUAAAUACUUUAAAAUUUAAUAUUUUAAUUACAAAAUAUUUUGGAAAGCUCAUCCUCUUAUUUUGUGCUCAAGGUAAAAGUAAAGUAAUAGUUUAGUAGUAUAAUGAUUUAUUUAGCUCUCUAAUUUCAUAAAAAAGUUAUUUUAGUUAUUUUUUUAAUUUUUUUUGUCUUUUAUACAUGUUGAACUUCUAUUUUUUUUAAAUUAUCCAAAAAUAGAUGAAAAAAUUAAUGUUAUUUAAUAUUACUGAUUUGGUAUAUACAUAGAUUGUCAUGUAGAUGAGAUGUUAGCAUUUAAUUAAAUUUUAAAAAAAUUUAAAAUAUUUAAAAAGUAUUUUUUAUAAAAAAAUUAAAAAUCAUUAAAAUUUUUAAAACUUAAAAUAAUUAAUUGAAUACUAGUGUGUCAUCCACGUGAUGCUCUACAUGUAUGUAAUGUUAACAAAAUAAAAAAAAUAUUAAUUUUUUAUCUAUUUUAAAGUGAUUUAAUAAAAAAAUAUAAAUUUAAAGACUAAAAAAUAUCAAAAACUAAAAUAACCUUUUUAUAAAAUUAGAGGGUAAAUAAAUAUUAUACCUAAAUUGAUUUACCACAAAAGAGGUGCAACGCUGCAAAUCAAUGCAACUUAGUUUCACGUGAGUGCUGGGCACGCGGACAUCCUUCUAUUUCACGUGACUUUCCCUCCACGCUGGCAUCUGUUCCCCCCUGUCUUCUCCCAAUGUUCCUUCAUAUUAAAAACAUAAUAAAAAAGUAAAUAAUAUAAAAUAAAUAAAUCAAACAGAAAUCCAAAGAUUGUUUAGAUAGCAAAAAAAAAAAAAAAAAACGAAAAGGAAAAAGCAAUGGGAGGUGGUGGUGGUGGUGAGAUAGCAGCGGAGACAAGGAAGAAGAGGAAGAAGGGAAGGCCCUCUCUCUUAGAACUUCAAAAACGCUCUCUCAAACAACAACAACUGCAGGAGCCGCAGCAACCGCAAUUGCUUCUUCAAAAAACCCCUAAUUCUUCUAUCAAUUCGAACCGCCGAUCCACUCGCCGCCACCCAAAUCUCAACGGUGGGUCCCCAGUUUCCGGAUCGAUUUCCGGAGGAGAAGACGACGACGACGACGACCGCCUACAGAAGAAGCAUAAACCAUUGCUUGGUUUCAAUUCUUCUCGUACUGAUCAGCAUUAUCCGAUUCCUUCGGCGCUCAAUUCGGCCUCCUAUGGGUCCGAUUCGAAUGCGGAUGGUGACAAUCCCGACGCGUCACUCAAACGUCGCAAGUUUACCGCCGCCAAGCCUGGAUCUGAUCAAAUGGUGAUAAAUCAUACAUUAAUAUAUAGAUUUCGCGGGUUUUUUAAAGUCCUGGUUUUGAAACAGAAUCAAGAAAUUGAUUUUCCUACUUUAUUUGGAUAUUUUAUUUUAGGGUUUUAUUUUGGGAAUCGAAAAUAGCUUCUCAUGCGCCGAAAUUUUAUAAUUGCAACAGAGAUGAACGAAUGAGUUUGACUAAGUCAUGUACCUUUUUUUAUUGGAUAUUGUUUCAACUUUUUGAUUUUCGGCUAAACUUCAAGUUGUUUUGAACAUAGUUUGUCUUCCUUUUCUUUCCCGAUUUACGAAUUUUCCAUUAUUAUUUUAUUAUUUCUUGUCUUGGAUUUAAUCCUUCCUUUAUUUUUGUGCAAAAUAAUAGAUGCACAGACCAUCAUGUCUGUAAAGCUUCAGUUUGUCUUUUCUUUUCUUUAAUAAUAAUACUUCAAAGUUUUUGUUUUUUUUUGUUUUUGGUACUUGCUUUGCAUUGUUGUAGCUUUUUACUGUAACUUUCCUCAGUGAUUCUUCAAUAAUCAACGCAAGUAUCUCUUUUAAUAGUUUUUUUUUCAUUUAAUUUGGGAGUUAAAUAAAUAUAUGUAUUGACACGAGAGUUUAUCUUACUUACAGGGAGAAAAGUUAUCGAAAGUGACGGACACUCUUCAUGGUAUAAGUCUAUCUCGGUUUUCAUGAAAAAAAGGCAUUUCUGGGAAUUCUUAGAAAAAAAGAAGUGUUGGGCUUUGUUAACUAUAUUAAUUUUAUUUCAUUUAUAUGUGGACAGGGUCACCGGUGGAGUCUGGCCCCACCCCCACGACGCCUUUGCCAGACAAAAAGUUGUUGGUGUUCAUUCUUGACAGGCUUCAAAAGUAUUUGUUAUUUUUGGCUCAUUUGAUUUUUUUUUUCUUAGUUUAUCUUCCGUUUGACGGGUUUUUAUCCUUUUUACUUAAUCUACUUCCAGGAAAGAUACUUAUGGGGUAUUCUCUGAGCCAGUAGAUCCUGAAGAGGUGCAUUUUGUUUUUCAUUCUUGCAUAAAUCUAGAUUACUGAAAAGUGAAAUCACGGUUCCUGAUAUAAUGUUGGAUUGGUCUUGAUACAGCUUCCAGAUUACCAUGAUAUUAUUGCACACCCAAUGGACUUUUCGACAGUCAGGAAAAAACUUGAUGAGGGAGCUUAUAUUACCUUAGAACAAUUUGAGGUUUGUUUUGCAAGCAUUCUCUUUGCUAAUGUGGAUAAAAUGUUCGUCUAUCCGUCUUCCUCCUGACAUAGUGGAGAGGGAAAGCCAACUAAGUUGUUUGAUUGCAUUACUGUCAAUGGUGAUUAAGUUUCUGAUGUUAUUUUCUGGAUUUCUCUGGUUGAUGUGUGUUUUUGUAGCAAUUGUAUAUGGCAUAUGGCAAGUCAAGUGCGUGUUGUCAGUCAAGCAAGUCCUUGAAGAAUACUGGAGGCAUGCUAUGCCUUUUGAGAUUACUGUAGUAACGAUGUUGGCUAUGAUGUUUAAGUACUUCAUUAAGUUCACUUGUUUGGGAUAGCAUUUUGGCCUCUUAUGCCUGGAAGAUUCUUUAAUUUGGUUUGAGAAGAUAAUUACUUGCCUUUGUUUUUUACUGUUCAUAUGAUAUAUAAUUUAUUUGGUACUGCCAAUGGUUUGCCUAUGAUUUGUGGAAUUUGAUUGCAAAACUUGUUUUGUUUAGCAUAGGAUCUUACUGUGUUACUCUUUCCUAGCAGAUAACUAUAUAUGCUGUGAGUUGCUUUUUGUGGUUAACUGAGAAGAUGAAAAUCCUAAUGAAAUGAUUUUCAUGUCAGUAUAAAUGCCCUGGACCAGUGGGAUAGUCUUUAGAUUCUACAAACAUGUAGUAAUCAAAACUUAGAUUUAGGGGAUAUAGUUUUUCUGGAAUGAUACUUGAUGUAUAACUGAAAAUUUGUGAGUUUGAUUCAUGCAGAUUGAUGUUUUCCUAAUAUGCUCGAAUGCAAUGCAGUAUAAUGCACCAGAUACAAUUUACUUUCGACAGGUUUGUCUAGGUCUCAAUUGUAUUAAUUCCUUUGUCAUGAUACUGUGGUCUCUGUUAUUUUAAACGUCUGGAUUGGAUGGUUAGGCACGAUCAAUGCAGGAGCUGGCUAGAAAGGACUUUGAGAAUUUGAGGCAAGAUAGUGAUGAAGGUGAACCACAAGUGAAAGUUGUGAGGAGAGGAAGGCCACCUGGAAAGAGCCUCAAAAAGUCAUUGGUUUCAUCGUCAUCUAUUGACCAUGUUGGUUCUGAGUACUCCUCAGAUGCAACACUAGCUGCUGGACGAGAUGCUUCUAGCCUUUCAAACACUUACAAUUUGAGGAAAGCACCUAAUUCCCUC